This is a non-coding RNA of Macrostomum lignano, 46 nucleotides long. The record is from Rfam. Lineage: Eukaryota; Metazoa; Platyhelminthes; Macrostomidae.
AAAACGGCCCUUUUAGGGGCCACUAAAAAUAAGUUAUAUUCCCUAU